Long non-coding RNA from Temnothorax curvispinosus, 415 nucleotides. RefSeq lists it as uncharacterized. The transcript is spliced from 3 exons. NCBI's taxonomy places the organism in Eukaryota, Metazoa, Arthropoda, Insecta, Hymenoptera, Formicidae. The record is from RefSeq and is a predicted model, not a curated record.
UUAUACAAUUGUAUCGUUUUAUAUUGUGCGCAACGCUCAUCGCGACAGCCAUGAUGUACAUGAUUAUCUUACAUACGAUGCGUGAGUACGUAUACACGUGUGUCAAUCGAGGAGUGCAGAGUGCUCUUUAUUUACAGCAUAUUUAUAUAUAAGGCAAUGAAUAUGUCUUAACAUAUGGGAUCAAUUGUUGUAUCAAAUUCAAAAAACCACCAUUUGAAAAAUUUGACCCUGGCUAAGAUAAACAUCAGUGAACAAUAUAUUAUAAGGAAAACUCUGUACAAGAUACUAGAAAUGCUAAAAGAUGAUCAAGAAGCUUUUACACAAGUCAGGCUAUUAGACAACAAUUCCUUGUAAUACAGAGAAAGACUUGGAACACUUUAUAAUGGAAUGGCUUAGAUUUGCAAACAUCCGUAAA